RNAcentral lists this ribosomal RNA (114 nucleotides) under Lachnospiraceae bacterium. RNAcentral describes it as "partial 23S ribosomal RNA". It matches the Rfam family "Bacterial large subunit ribosomal RNA", at positions 2812 to 2925 of the family's 2925-position model. Lineage: Bacteria; Bacillati; Bacillota; Clostridia; Lachnospirales; Lachnospiraceae. The record is from RNAcentral.
UCCCAUAGCAGAAGCUAGUAAGACCCCUUGAAGACUACGAGGUUGAUAGGUCGGGAGUGGAAGUGUGGCAACACAUGGAGCGGACCGAUACUAAUAGGUCGAGGGCUUAACCUG